RNAcentral lists this ribosomal RNA (462 nucleotides) under Triticum aestivum (bread wheat). Its description in RNAcentral is "partial small subunit ribosomal RNA". The record is from RNAcentral. Lineage: Eukaryota; Viridiplantae; Streptophyta; Magnoliopsida; Poales; Poaceae.
AUGAGUUCGGCCAAGAUUAUUUGCUUCAAGUGCAAAAUUGAAGGGCGUCAUGUUAGAUCUUGCCCAUUGAAGAAGAAGGCCAUUAGUGACAAGCAACAAGGGAAGCUGCUACAAGUGCAUUCUCAUGCUCAACCUCAAGUUGAAGAAAGGCCUCUUCCCAUGAAGACUCAAGCUAAUGCUUCUCAUGUUAAGAAAUCAAGUGAGAAGAAAGUGAAGAGUAGACGUUGCUACCUAUGUCGUGAGAAAGGUUACCUCGCUUCUUCAUGCACUAGUGGUAACUUAUCCAACCCAACUAUUAUUGAUGAUGUCUAUUCUCUUGGGAAGGAUAAGGUUGGCAAUGUGGUUGCCAAGUUUGUUGGUACUCAAAGUGGUUUGAAGCAAAGAACCAUUUGGGUAGCCAAGCCUAUUGUGACUAACCUCUUAGGACCCAACUUGGUUGGAGACGAACUAGCUCAAACUUGA